This 421-nucleotide ribosomal RNA is filed under the name uncultured Methanoculleus sp. Its description in RNAcentral is "bacterial SSU rRNA". It matches the Rfam family "Archaeal small subunit ribosomal RNA", at positions 322 to 747 of the family's 1478-position model. Lineage: Archaea; Methanobacteriati; Methanobacteriota; Methanomicrobia; Methanomicrobiales; Methanomicrobiaceae. The record is from RNAcentral.
CCUAUGGGGUGCAGCAGGCGCGAAAACUUUACAAUGCGGGCAACCGUGAUAAGGGAACCUCGAGUGCCUGUAUAUGCAGGCUGUCCAGGUGUCUAAAGAACACCUGAAGAAAGGGCCGGGCAAGACCGGUGCCAGCCGCCGCGGUAAUACCGGCGGCUCGAGUGGUGGCCACUUUUAUUGGGCUUAAAGCGUUCGUAGCUGGGUUAUUAAGUCUCUUGGGAAAUCCGACGGCUCAACUGUCGGGCGUCUAAGAGAUACUGGUAAUCUUGGAACCGGGAGAGGUGAGGGGUACUUCGGGGGUAGGAGUGAAAUCCUGUAAUCCUCGAGGGACCACCUGUGGCGAAGGCGCCUCACCAGAACGGCUUCGACAGUGAGGGACGAAAGCUGGGGGAGCAAACCGGAUUAGAUACCCGCGUAGUCC